AUCAAAAAUUCCAUCCUAGGCUCUCUUCAUUCAUUUAUGCACAUGGCUUUAAUAAUCAGUUAUUUAUAAAUGACUGAUUUUUAUCUCUAUCCUAGUCCUUGACUGAGCUCCAGAUCCCUACUUUCAUUUUUACACCUCUUCAAUGCAUCAAAGGCAUCUAUAACCCAUCAUGUACAAAACCAAACUUCUAACUUUUCCAAUUCGGUGAAUGACAUUUAUCCAACUAUGCAAGUGGUGCUGUGAACUGUAUGAAACCUGUAAGUCAUCUUUGAUACUUCCUUCCCCCCUACCCCACAGAUCCUGUCCAUUUCCUAAAAAUCCCUUGAAUCUGUCCAUUUCUAUUUCCAUAACCACUUCCCAACAUUUCUUGCUUAGGUUACACCAUUACUCCCAUCCACUCUUGCCUCCUUCAAUCCAGUCUUCAUAUUACAACUAAAGUGAAUUUUCGAAAAUGUAAAGCUGAUCACAUGACUUGGCUAAGUAGUUCAAUGGCUUCUGAUUGCUCUUAAGAUAAAAACUCCAAGGCCCUUUGUGACCUCUUCCUACUACUCCAGCAUCACUCCACACCACUCUACUUUUUCUUUCUUUGAAAGAGCUGUAUUUCUCAGGCCACUGUAUCUCUGCAAAUGCUAUUUCCUGUCUUGAAAGCUCUUCCCUGACACCUACUUCUCAAUUAUCACCUCCUCAGAAAAGUCUACCCCAAUCUACACAAAUUAAAUCCUCCUUUAAUAAGCAUUUAUAGUAUCAAGUACAAGUUUCACAGCACUUAUCCAGUCUCAAUAUUAGGUUUUAUAUGUGUGGUCAGUUCGUCUCCCAUACUAGAGAACAGCUCCACAAGAGCAAAGACCAGGACGCUGUCCACGUCGAGACCCCACUGUACGGAAGGCGCUUUCAACGUUGGAAAUAGGUCUCGGCUUUUAGAAAACUGAGUUGUGGACGGAGUAAAAAGGAAAGAGGCAAGCAGCAGUGGAUGAGAAGCUACCCCUUCUUCAUAGUUAAAAGCAGAAUGGUUUGAACGUGAAGAGUUUUAAUGAGCUAAGGAAAGAGGUGGUAAAGAAUUAGGAUUAAGAAUAUAGAUGCCACCCCAGCCUGGGCGAC
This is a non-coding RNA of Microcebus murinus (gray mouse lemur), 1098 nucleotides long. NCBI's taxonomy places the organism in Eukaryota, Metazoa, Chordata, Mammalia, Primates, Cheirogaleidae. The record is from RefSeq and is a predicted model, not a curated record.